RNAcentral lists this ribosomal RNA (494 nucleotides) under uncultured bacterium. Its description in RNAcentral is "partial 16S ribosomal RNA". It matches the Rfam family "Bacterial small subunit ribosomal RNA", at positions 28 to 506 of the family's 1533-position model. The record is from RNAcentral.
GACGAACGCUGGCGGCGUGCCUAAUACAUGCAAGUAGAACGCUGAAGGAGGAGCUUGCUCUUCUGGAUGAGUUGCGAACGGGUGAGUAACGCGUAGGUAACCUGCCUGGUAGUGGGGGAUAACUAUUGGAAACGAUAGCUAAUACCGCAUAAUAACAGUUGUUGCAUGACAACUGUUUGAAAGGUGCAAUUGCAUCACUACCAGAUGGACCUGCGUUGUAUUAGCUAGUUGGUGGGGUAACGGCUCACCAAGGCGACGAUACAUAGCCGACCUGAGAGGGUGAUCGGCCACACUGGGACUGAGACACGGCCCAGACUCCUACGGGAGGCAGCAGUAGGGAAUCUUCGGCAAUGGACGAAAGUCUGACCGAGCAACGCCGCGUGAGUGAAGAAGGUUUUCGGAUCGUAAAGCUCUGUUGUAAGAGAAGAACGAGUGUGAGAGUGGAAAGUUCACACUGUGACGGUAUCGUACCAGAAAGGGACGGCUAACUACGU